CCUAAAAAGGAAAGCGAUCUGUGCAUCAGUCUACUUAGAUCAAUCAUCAUCCCCAUGAUGAUCAUCGACAGGGAGUUUUUAAAAAUUAAUCUAUAAUGACACAUGUCUUAAAUUUUCAACUCUUUGAGAGUAUGUGUCAUUGACCAUUAAUUUCAUAGAUGAUUCUAGGAUACAUUACUCUAGAAUGGAUAUAAUUGCUCAAUGAUUUUAAUUUCAAUAAAUUAAGUAUAAAUUUAUCCUAAAAAAUUACAAUGUGUCAGCCAAUAAUUGACUUUCUAG
Molecule: long non-coding RNA, 279 nt
Filed under: Elaeis guineensis (African oil palm)
Lineage: Eukaryota; Viridiplantae; Streptophyta; Magnoliopsida; Arecales; Arecaceae
Description: long non-coding RNA (EGUI_LNC064500)
Source: RNAcentral